CGCACCCGCAUGCUUCAAAAUUUUCAACCCACUAUCUUCUCUACGUGCAGAAUAUGAACCUAAUCAAACCUUUUGGAAUUUGCUGAAAGUGAAGACAAAGCAUUACGCAUAUACAUCAAUCUUCUUAGCCACUUCAUUUUCCAUUUGAUCCUAUGAGCUAAGUCAAUGAAAAUUUCUUUCACACUAUCAAGAUUUUAAAUACCAUUUUCUCUUCUUCUUUUUUUUUUUCUGUUUUCUCUGCACUCCUGGCGGCCUCAGGGCAUAACAGGUGCACAUCUUUAGUGUGCUCAUGCUACGUAGCAGCGAGGAAUUCCGACAGCAAAGACGACGAAGGUGUUAGGAGAAGUGGCACCAGCAACAAUCACAGGAAGCAUAGAUCAUUAGAGAAGAAAUAUGGGUUUUUUCACGAAUUUUGUUUUGAUGAGGAAUCACAAGUUGAAGUCAAGAACAGUGGAGGCAUCGCGAGUGACAUUGGUGGGUCUGAUGCAUCUCAAGAGCUUAAUGAACCCAUGCCUCUUAAGAGUAAUCUGAAGAAAGCGACUGAACCUUUAGAAUUUAGUCAGCAGCUAAGGAUAGGGUCGAGGAAAGUUACCUGGCCGGACGCCCAUGGCAAAGAUAUUGCUCAUGUUCAAGAGUUUGAGCCAAGUGUGUCAGAGGAUGGCGGAGAAUUAGAGGGUGUACAAAAUUCUUGCAUCUGUGUAAUACAAUGAUAAUGGUAAGUAUAAUUGCUUCUUGAAAGUUAACCUUGAUCACUUUGCAAACGUGUAAAUGAUCUCUUUUACUGUUUUGAUAACAUUGCACAUUAAUGUUUUGAAAUUUUAGACAAUUGUGCAAAAUGCUUUUUUUUUCCCCCUAUAUAUGUGGGGGUUGAAGAAUAUAUAGGGCUGCUGCAGACUAUGGCGGCUUGGAAAUUGACUAUGGCUGAAGCCCCAAAAUUGACCACAAGUAUAAGCAGUACAUAAGGGUCGCUUCCAGCGCCUGAAGCUUUUGAAUGCUGACUCAAUGACCCAAAAUUGGGAUACAUCUAGAGGAAAUUGAGCAUAAAUUUCCAAUGACAAAAUUGUUUCUAUGAUGUAUUUUGACAAAAACAACAGUAUACAUGUCAACAUUUAUAGGGUGAUGUAAUUGGAGUUCUACCUUUGCAUUGUAUAGAGCGAACAUUUGAUAAUGGAUUGACUAUUUUUGGCGGGUUUCA
Long non-coding RNA from Coffea eugenioides, 1195 nucleotides. RefSeq lists it as uncharacterized. The transcript has 2 exons. NCBI's taxonomy places the organism in Eukaryota, Viridiplantae, Streptophyta, Magnoliopsida, Gentianales, Rubiaceae. The record is from RefSeq and is a predicted model, not a curated record.